RNAcentral lists this ribosomal RNA (301 nucleotides) under uncultured bacterium. Its description in RNAcentral is "partial 16S ribosomal RNA". It matches the Rfam family "Bacterial small subunit ribosomal RNA", at positions 509 to 808 of the family's 1533-position model. The record is from RNAcentral.
CAGUCGCCACGGGAAAACGUAGGGGGCAAGCGUUGUCCGGAAUUAUUGGGCGUAAAGCGCGCGCAGGCGGUCAUUUAAGUCUGGUGUUUAAUCCCGGGGCUCAACCCCGGAUCGCACUGGAAACUGGGUGACUUGAGUGCAGAAGAGGAGAGUGGAAUUCCACGUGUAGCGGUGAAAUGCGUAGAUAUGUGGAGGAACACCAGUGGCGAAGGCGACUCUCUGGGCUGUAACUGACGCUGAGGCGCGAAAGCGUGGGGAGCAAACAGGAUUAGAUACCCGGGUAGUCCCUGUCUCUUAUACA